UGUCAAGGAUCACAGAGCCCACACAUCAUACAUCAUGUAUUGGGUGUGGAAAUUCCUCUUCUUGAUGGCAGCUGUCCAAAGUGUCCAAGCCCAGGUUCAGUUGGUGCAGUCUGGGUCUGAGCUGAAGAAGCCUGGAGAGUCAGUGAAGAUCUCCUGCAAGGCGUCUGGCUACACUUUCACAGACUAUGGCAUGAACUGGGUGAAGCAGGCGCCAGGAAAGGGCCUGGAGUGGAUGGGUUGGAUCAACACUUAUACUGGGAACCCAACAUAUGCCGAAGACUUCAAAGGGCGGUUUGUCUUCUCUUUGGACACCUCUGUCAGCACUGCCUAUCUUCAGAUCAACAGCCUCAAGAAUGAGGACACGGCUAUGUAUUACUGUGCAAGACACAGUGUGAAAACCACAUCCUGA
Psammomys obesus (fat sand rat) is the source of this 409-nucleotide non-coding RNA. The record is from the annotation of a RefSeq genome assembly. NCBI's taxonomy places the organism in Eukaryota, Metazoa, Chordata, Mammalia, Rodentia, Muridae.